CCUGCCACCUCGUGAAGACAGUGUCUUGCUUCCCCUUUGCCUUCUGCCAUGAUUACAAGUUUCCUGAGGCCUUCCCAGCCACGCUGAGCUGUGGCAGAGAUGAGGAUCAACCAGCAAAUGAGAUUGUGAGAGUGGCGUGUGAGGUAGGAGAAAGAAGAGAAUCGAAUCUAGGAAGGGAUAUGGAUGGAGCUGGAAACCAUUAUCCUCAGCAAACUAAUGCAGGAACAGAAAACCAAACACUGCAUGUUCUCACUUCACCUGCAGGGAUCCUCCCUUGUGGCCCUCUCCCUGCUUGAAGUCCCACCCAAAAGGCUUGGGGACAUAGCAGCAGCUGCCUUGGUACAGAGGAUAGAUACAUUUUGUUUGAUGCCCUCUCUCCAUACUACAAUGCCUGGACCGAGAUUCCAGCUUUGGCCAUGGGGAACUCCUUCAUGCUGGCUCCUGCAUCCUUUGGACAUGCCCUGUCCUUCUGUGAGCACGGUCUUACUUUCUGGCCCCACAAGAUAUUCCAGGCUCAUCUUGUAAUUUCCCUGCUCCAGUCCUGGACUCAGCCACUUCUCCAAGAAGCUCUGAUUCUUUUUCUUAGAGAAUGGUAUUGAGAAACCAAGAUCUGGGGGCUAAGUGUUCAACUUGUGUUCCACUGUUACUUUAAUGUAUCCCUGGAAUCCAAUCAAGAGAUAGAAACCACAUAGUAGUUUAAAUACAGAAUGUUUAAUAUAACUAUUAACUAUAACAGGAGAUUGGAGAAAUGGGGGAUUGACUAAUAAGAGGUAAGAAGAACCCUCACCCCUUCCAAAACAAAGGAGGAAUAGCAGAUUUAGGGAGUAGCCAUUGUCCCCAGCGCCUAAGAAAGAGGCCACUCUCCAUCUCUCCACCCCCUUUCGGAACCAGAUCUCACUGGAAAGGGUACCACUGUGACCUACUGGAUGGCAGAGAAGAUUGCUGGGGUGCUUUGUUAGUGUGGCUCGAUGGAAAUCUGCCCUCCGUGAUGCAGAAGGAAGCUGUCCAUGGGCAGGAGUUGUGAUUUGGAACUCACAGCAAAGCCACUCAAGGGCUGCCGGGAGAAGCUCUUCAUAGGGAUGUAAUACAUGCUGCUGGCCACCUAGAGAUGCAUUGCGUAAGCCUCAGGUGCUGCAGGAGCCUGAUGAGGGGAGCUCAUGAGAACCAGGAAGAGAAAUCUCUUCCUCUUCCAAAGUCUUUCUAGUGCCCUCUGCUGAUAAUUGAAACAUUUAGGUGAAUUCUUCUGUUUCCCAUGUUCUUCAGCGUCACUAUGCUAUUUGUUUUUAAUACAUGUAUGUUCAUUUGUUAGUUUGUAACAGUGUUAGCCAGGAUGGUCUCGAUCUCCUGACCUCAUGAUCUGCCCGCUUCGGCCUCCCAAAGUGCUGGGAUUACAGACGUGAGCCACCACGCCUGGCCCACCCACCAGUUUUUAUAAAUAAAGUUUUAUUGUUGCACA
RNAcentral lists this long non-coding RNA (1456 nucleotides) under Piliocolobus tephrosceles (Ugandan red Colobus). Its description in RNAcentral is "lncRNA (ENSPTEG00000009797.1)". The record is from RNAcentral. Lineage: Eukaryota; Metazoa; Chordata; Mammalia; Primates; Cercopithecidae.